Molecule: ribosomal RNA, 411 nt
Filed under: uncultured bacterium
Lineage: Bacteria
Description: bacterial SSU rRNA
Rfam family: Bacterial small subunit ribosomal RNA
Source: RNAcentral
AACGAACGCUGGCGGCGUGGAUUAGGCAUGCAAGUCGAACGCGAAAGAGGGGGUAACUCCUCGAGUAGAGUGGCGAACGGGUGAGUAACGCGUGAAGAACCUGCCUUCAACAGGGGGAUAACACUCCCAACGGGGUGCUAAAACCGCAUGAGACCACGGGGCUGCAUGGCCCAGGGGUCAAAGGUGGCCUCUACUUGUAAGCUACCGGUUGAAGAUGGCUUCGCGUCCCAUUAGCUAGUUGGCGGNGUAACGGACCACCAAGGCGACGAUGGGUAGCUGGUCUGAGAGGAUGGUCAGCCACACUGGGACUGAGAUACGGCCCAGACUCCUACGGGAGGCAGCAGUCGAGAGGCUUUGGCAAUGGGGGAAACCCUGACCAAGCGACGCCGCGUGGGUGAUGAAGGCCUCGGG